Molecule: ribosomal RNA, 265 nt
Filed under: uncultured Staphylococcus sp.
Lineage: Bacteria; Bacillati; Bacillota; Bacilli; Caryophanales; Staphylococcaceae
Description: partial 16S ribosomal RNA
Rfam family: Bacterial small subunit ribosomal RNA
Source: RNAcentral
CGGCGGACGGGUGAGUAACACGUGGGUAACCUACCUAUAAGACUGGGACAACUUCGGGAAACCGGAGCUAAUACCGGAUAAGAUACCGAACCGCAUGGUUCGAUAGUGAAAGAUGGUUUUGCUAUCACUUAUAGAUGGACCCGCGCCGUAUUAGCUAGUUGGUGAGGUAACGGCUCACCAAGGCAACGAUACGUAGCCGACCUGAGAGGGUGAUCGGCCACACUGGAACUGAGACACGGUCCAGACUCCUACGGAGGCAGCAGUG